Amborella trichopoda is the source of this 154-nucleotide non-coding RNA. The record is from Rfam. NCBI's taxonomy places the organism in Eukaryota, Viridiplantae, Streptophyta, Magnoliopsida, Amborellales, Amborellaceae.
CCCACAACCAUGUGUGUAGGACCCCAAAGGAUCACUAUUAAAUUUGACACAGAUCUCUAGAAAAGUUAUCACAUGGGUGCGGGACUUGACUUUUCUAGAGGUCUGUAUCAAAUUUAAUGGUGAUCAUUUGGGGUCCUAUACACAUGGGUGUUGG